CUGAUGCAGCGACGCCGCGUGAGGGAUGACGGCCUUCGGGUUGUAAACCUCUGUUAGCAGGGAAGAAGAGAGAUUGACGGUACCUGCAGAGAAAGCGCCGGCUAACUACGUGCCAGCAGCCGCGGUAAUACGUAGGGCGCGAGCGUUGUCCGGAAUUAUUGGGCGUAAAGAGCUUGUAGGCGGUUUGUCGCGUCUGCUGUGAAAGGCCGGAGCUUAACUCCGUGUAUUGCAGUGGGUACGGGCAGACUAGAGUGCAGUAGGGGAGACUGGAAUUCCUGGUGUAGCGGUGGAAUGCGCAGAUAUCAGGAGGAACACCGAUGGCGAAGGCAGGUCUCUGGGCUGUAACUGACGCUGAGAAGCGAAAGCAUGGGGAGCGAACAGGAUUAGAUACCCUGGUAGUCCAUGCCGUAAACGUUGGGCACUAGGUGUGGGGAACAUUCCACGUUUUCCGCGCCGUAGCUAACGCAUUAAGUGCCCCGCCUGGGGAGUACGGCCGCAAGGCUAAAACUCAAAGAAAUUGACGGGGGCCCGCACAAGCGGCGGAGCAUGCGGAUUAAUUCGAUGCAACGCGAAGAACCUUACCAAGGCUUGACAUAUACUGGAUCGCAUCAGAGAUG
RNAcentral lists this ribosomal RNA (617 nucleotides) under uncultured bacterium. Its description in RNAcentral is "bacterial SSU rRNA". It matches the Rfam family "Bacterial small subunit ribosomal RNA", at positions 383 to 1008 of the family's 1533-position model. The record is from RNAcentral.